GUUGAUCGUGUCAGCAAGAACAAAACCCUAAUCAUCGGACGCCUCUUCUAUCUCCUUAUAUAAAGACAUCAUCCUCUGAUACCUCUCAAAAUAAACCCAAAACCUUGAAUUCGGAGUAGUUCUCUAUGGUCAUCUUUUCUUCGUCUGUCCGAUUCUUAUCAAUGUGUUGUUGUAGUAGUCGUCUAGAUCUUAUGAUGUAGGUCUGAUAGCUUUAGCUUAGAGUUUUGCUGUUUAAUUAUGUUGAUGAUGAUAAAUCCAAAGGCUUGUUUCUCAAACAUUCGCAGUGGCCGCCUAAGAGCUUUCGCCUUUCGCCAGGCUUGAGAGUUGAUGCUGCUUUAUCCUUCCUUGGAUGUCUGAAACUUUUGAAAUCUUGCUUCCAUUGUCAUUGUUUUCUCAGCUAGGGUUUUAGAUUUGGGACCGAGUUUAACAAUGUCUCAUUAGCAGAAUUGAUUUCUCUUAGUGCUUGAUAGGAUUUAACAAAGUCCCUUAUAUCUUAAUCCAUCUGUCACUUUGUCAGCAGUCUUAAUUUGGUUUCUUGCUGAUCAUUAUAAGAUGGGAAACUCGUCACUGUUUUAUUUUUUUUGGUCGAUGAUGAUAAACAUUAAGGCUUGUUUCUCAAAACAUUCGCAGUGGCCGCCUAAGGCUUUCGCCUUUCGCCGGGCUUGAGAGCUUAUGAUGUUCUUAUCCUUCCUUGGAUGUCUGAGACCACGAUUUUAGAUUUGGUUUUAAUUUUUUGAUUUUGUUGUUGGUUUACGGUUGAUGAGGAUAAAACCAAGGCUUGUUUCUCAAAACAUUCGCAGUGGCCGCCUAAAGCUUUCGCCUUUCGCCAGGCUUGAGAGCUAAUGCAGCUUUUAUCCUUCCUUGGAUGUCUGAAACCGAUCUUUAUGUACAUGUUUUAAAGUUUAUGUGUGCUGAAAAGAUCAAUGAUGAUAAAUAUUAAGGCUUGUUUCUCAAAACAUUCGCAGUGGCCGCCUAAAGCUUUCGCCUUUCGCCGGGCUUGAGAGCUAAUGCAGCUUUUAUCCUUCCUUGGAUGUCUGAGAUCUUUAUUAACUCUAUUGUUUAAUUUGCACUUGCUGUUCUUGUAUGAUCUUUUCUAUUUUGUCUGUUUUGAAUUUUGCAGGUAAAUUCUGGACAAUGGUGCUAUAGGUUCGGGCUAUUGGAUGAAGAUUUUUCUUGUAAUUUUAGUAUAAUUGUAAUGAGCCGUGUAUUAUUGUUAUUGGGCGAAUAGAUUUGUACAUUGAUUCAUUUAUUAAUGAUAAGUUUCUGUAAUUUAACAAAAUCUAAUAAUCAAUAAUUAAAUUUAAUUCUUUGCGUCAUAUCUAAGUUUGCGAAAACCUAUAGUGUGAAAAAUCAAAAUGAUAUCAACUGUAAGCUUGAUGUAAAACAUAAAUUCUUAGAUAUUUGCAAUUGUAAAAAAAGUCGAAUUAAACUCGGGAGAUUGAUAAGCAAUAGAUAUAUUAAAACGUUGUAACGAAUUGAACCGGAUCUAAUUGUCUUGGUUAUCCAGCCGCCGGGGGUUUAAUAAGGCGAAUUAAAAACCCGCGGAACAAGUCGGAAGGUUAGUCAUCUCAAGAUAUAAGAUGAUGAUAUAGAGCGAGAUCAAGAAAUAGAGAGACCAAACAAACAAAGCGACUUGAGUAUGGUUUCCCGUAGAGGUCCCUCCAAUACAGGGGCGAUUGUCUGUAUCCUCACAGAUAGAUUCAAGGUUCCGAACAAUUGGGUUUCGCAUAUAUCAUUUGCUACUAUACUUGGUUUUGCUGGUCUCGUAUUGGCCCUUAAGGACGGUCGAUUCCGCAACCUCAAACUCUUCUCCGCUAGAGAUGAAGACUCCGGAGACGAUUCUGUUCUCGUACCUGGCCUUCAAAAUCUCGGGAAUAAUUGUUUCCUCAACGUGAUCUUACAGGUAGUGCUUCGUAUUACUGACAUUUCCAUGGGUUCCUCGUUUGAGUUUGAUUCUAAUCCUUUUGCACGAUUUGGAUUUGUGAAUUUGACCUUUCCAGGCUCUGGCCAGCUGCAAAGAUUUCCGGAGCUUUCUUCAAUGGGUUAUAGAGGAUGCGAGAGACACGGUAGCAGGAGAACUGGACCAACAGUUUCCUCUUACUUUUGCUCUAUCUGCCUUGUUACAAGGUAAAAAACUAGUCCAUUUCUUCUAUGUCAGUGUCAGUGUGUGUGUCAAAAUUGGUAAUGUUGUUUACAGUAAUCCUUUUUGUUAAUUGUUACGAGCAGAGCUCUGUGUAGUUGGAAGAAGACGAUCUGUAUCUAACCCUCGUGAAGUUAUGCUGGCUUUGACUGAUUAUACCCGAAAUUUCAAUUUGACAAGCCAACAGGUUUCAUUUCUUCUAUUAGUACAAAGGAUACCUCAGUUGGUCGUUGGUCUUCUAUGAGCUAAUGAUAUUGUUGAUACAUAGGAUGCUGCAGAAGCUCUUCUUCAUCUUAUAUCUUCUUUGCAAGAAGAGAUUGUAUUUUGUUACCGUCCCAUCCAAAGUUGUAAUCUAUCAGAUGUACUCUUUUCUCGCAACUUGAGAAUGCUUGCACCUAGUGAAGGCCUCCAUGGUUUGUUGGAGCUUAAGAGAUGGCAUAAACAUUUGCGUGGACCAUUUGAUGGUAUUCUUGGUAGUACGUUGAUGUGUCGAACUUGUUCCUCUCAGGUACUUUGGAUUAUAUUUCUCGAUCCAACCAGUUUAUUGGCUCUUGCUAUUGUCCCCAUUUGAUUUUCUUGCUUUUCGCAGAUUUCAUUGGAGUUUCAGUUUUUUCAUACUCUGCCUCUUUCUCCUUUACUCCAUAGUGGUGGUUCCAACAUUGUAUGUUACGCAAGGUUCAUUCUCUUAUUGCUAUAUUAGUUUACUUUUGCAAAAAAUUGAAACUUCUAAAGAAAUAAAACAUUUCUCAAGAGACUUUACCUUUCUGGUUGCUCUUAGAUGUUUGGAUGCACUUUGGAGAAUUGCAUGAAGAAGUUUCUAGAUACUGAGAAAGUUGAAAACUUCUUCUGCCAUAGAUGCUGGCAUGGUGCUGCAGGGAAAUAUUUAUCUGUGAUAGGAGCAGCUGAGGUAAUUAAAUUUCUGAGCUUUAAUCGGUAUUGUACCUUUCCUUUGUACUUGCUUUACAUCUCUUAUCUGACCCGUGUAUACUUGAAUUGGUUUCAAUCAGACAGAUAUAGAAAAACUCAGGAGCUGUGCGGUAGAUGAACAGUGUGACUGUAAAACUUCUCUUCUUCUUGAAAGAAUGCCUUGGUCAAAUAGCUAUUCCCAUAUAUUGAAGCAGUUAAUCAUCUCCCGUUUCCCAAAGGUAUUUACUUAUUUAUUACUCAAUGAAGCUAUAAAGUUUGAAACCCGAGAAAGUUAAAUUUAGUAUAGUGACUUUCUCUAGCUAAAUUGUUACAGCUUCUAUGCAUUCAAGUGCAACGCGCUUCAUUUAACAUGUAUGGAGAAUCCGUCAAACUAUCGGUAGAGAUUUGUUACUCUCUUUCCUGUCUACAUUACAUGUCCCAGAUCCUAGUUACAGUUCGUUCUAAUAUCAAUUUAUCUGUAUAGGGACAUAUUACCUUCCCACUCGUCUUGGACCUCUCCUUGUUCAAACCAUCUCCAAUAGGAUUAAACACAGAAGCAGGGAUUCAGAUGUCGUCAAAGAACCAAAAGCCAGAAGCAUCAAGAAGCUGCGACCUGUACAGGCUUGUAACAGUGGUUGAACAUUUUGGUAGAACCGGAAGCGGGCAUUAUACAGUUUAUAGAAGUGUGAGAGUUGCAUCACAAGAGGAAGAAGAAGAAGAAUGUGAGGAAUUGAGCUGGUUUAGUAUAUCUGAUUCAGAAGUUUGCAGAGUUUCAGAGAGUGAUGUUCUUGGUGCUGAAGCUAGCUUGCUCUUCUAUGAGAGGCUUCAAUAAAGACAGGAGAUAAAUCAGAGCCUGGUUGGUUAUUUCAUUGGAUUGAAUGAUUGAAUUUUGGUGUGUGUGUUUUUGAACUUUUACACGUUCGGUAGUAGAAGUCAAGAUGUAUCUCUUAUCUGACCCGUGUAUACUAUAAUCAUCACUGCAGCCAAACACUCCUUUAGUUCCCUGAUUGUAUUCUAAUUUUGAAGUGAAUCCAGACAGUCCCAAGCUUCCUCCAUAUAAUCAUCUCUUCUUCUUGCUCCUUUUUCAAUCAAAUUAUUGCUACAUUUCUUCUGCUUAUUUUAAGCCUCAUGUCCAACAACUAAAAAUAUGGAUCACAAAAGAUAAGAAAACGAAGAACAUGAAAGGAAAGAAAUCGAGGAACAUGAAAGAGAGCUUCAUGGUUAGUUAUUUACCAAUGACAAUUGAUUUCGGUUCGGUUUAUAUGGUUUUGAAAUUAUUAUUGAUUUCGGUUCCGUUUAAAUUAGAAUUAAUAAGGUUUUGAGAGAAAAGAAAAACUCACACGCGAUGGGUUUUUAAGAAUUCAGCGAGUUUGUUUCACCAUAAGCGAUUUUGGGGGUUAUAGCACACAGGAAUCGUAGACACUCGCGCAACGCGCGUUUGGUGAGAGUGGGUGAGAAAUAGAGCGUUCUGAUUGGCUAAAAAGAAUGAAAUAGUAGUGGUAUAGCUCCUUGCUUCCUCCUAAUAUUAUGAACUUUUCGUCUUCUUCUCUCAUUUGAGUUACUAUGUCUCUGCUAAACGAAGAUUUUCCUCUUCCGUGGCUCAUGGCAAGCGAUCUUCGAGAAGAUAGCUCAAGAUAGAGCUCUCAUUCUCCUCACAAGUUCUCAAGACCAUCUCACUUAUUACCAAGCCAAGGCUCUCUCGGAGCCGCGCAUGAGCGUAACCUCACUUUCACUCUGUUUUUCUACCACUUCACUUUUCGUGUGCUCAAGUGCGACGAAUCGCUUAGGGAGUUUCUUGGUUUAAUGAUGAAUUGCCUUGGAUUAGAAGCAAUGCUCUCAAGGUACUCAUUACCAUAUUCCCCCACCAUUGUGAUAGAUUAAGUAAUCUUUUCUGAUAGUUGAUUACUGAAGUCAAACCUCUCUUCAUAGUAUGGACUUGAUUAUGUAGAUCAUGGUAAAUAGUGAAUUGUUUGUUUGGUGUAUGGUCUAAUUCAGAGUUCUAAAUGAUGGGAGCUGUUGUUAUUUGAUGAUACUAAGUUUCUGAACUAGAUUUGUUGGUAGCAACAUUUUUCUCGACUAGAUGCUAUUUAACGUUUCCUUUUUGAUUCUUCUCUUUUUUUGUGCUCCUUAUGAUUGAAUAGUUUUUCUUUAUAUAUCUUUAGUGAUACAAAAGCUCAGACGCUAGUUUCUUUGCUAUAUAUUACUAUGAUGGGUUAGACAUACUUUCAAGGAUCUCUGGGUAUGUUUGGAAUUGAAUGAUCCAUUAUGUGGAAAUAUACUCAAAAGUGAGCUCAGUUAUGAUUCAGUUAUGUGUAACUCUAAAUCAAGCUGGAGUUAAACUUUUGUCGUAUUUAAGAAUGUCAGCUAACUGAAACAGCAUUGAAAACUUGUUGGUAUGAUCCUAUGUUAAAUUAAUUUUAUAUUACAUACGGUUCGUUAUCUUUCUCUAUUCCGGACUUCCUAUCACCAUAUUCUUGAUAAAUGACCUCUUUUAAGUUUUUCAAAAUUCUUUGUAGUAAUAAUCUGGUUGGUUGCAAACAAUCGCUUACUUGAGUCUUUUUUUUUUGAAGUUUUGUCGAACUCCCACCUCCUAGAGAAGUGUAUCUUUUGUUUAUUAAACUUGUUUCAUUAGUACUGUGUGAACUGGCUGUAUUAAGUUUCUCAUAACUCUGUAUCUUCUUUGCUUGUUGCAGCUUUUGGCUCAAAGUGCCCAAGAUUCCACAUGUCUUACUUUGUGUGUGAAGCUGAAGGAUCUACUAACCAUAUGUUGCAUGUCUCAACAGUUAACAAUCAAACAUACUUCGAUUAUGAACAAAAUGGUGAGUUUUUCUGUUGCUUUCAUGUUUAUGUUCAUUCCAGAGUUUAGUUCAUUGACCUCUAGUCUAGGGAAAUGGAAGGGAUUCAACAAACCUGCAGCAGUUAUAGAUAACAAGAGUACUUACGGUGGUACCUAAACAAGAUGUGUUUAGAUACUUUUGUGUCCUUAGUUGUUUCGUACAAAUAUUUAAUUUUAGGUUGAAAAUUUCAGUGGUAUGCAAUAUUAUUGACAGCAAUCCUUAAUGAACACAGAUACUAUAGCAUAUCGUGUUCUGCAGAGCACACGCAUGGGAAAAUAUGUGGCUUCCUGGAAGAGUAGAAAUUGGAAAGAGAGUAAACAGCGACAGAAGGUGUAGCAGACACAUCAAAGAGUAUAUUUAUAUUUACACACUGAAGACUUACAUGUACAUCUUUAUAUUUUGAGUAGAGACAAAUUCCUCUUUGUAUGUCAAAAGGAUCUUCAGAUCCUAUAAAACUUGUUUACUAUUUACCUUUCCUGUCAAUAUAAACAACAAGCCGAAAGAGUUUAUGUAACAAUUUGUUAUAUCAGAAAGGAUUUUUUCUAAAAUAAAGGAUUCCAGAUGUUUUGAGACUUUUUGUUAUACUUGGAAUGUAUUGAUUUGUUAUACCUGUGGAGUAGUUAUUGUUCAUGGGUUUCAAUGCUUUUUAAGCUAUAUUUUCUCUUCUAAAGGCUCCAUUUCCUGCAGAUCUUUUACUACAGCACCGAAGCUUACACUGUCUCCAUUAGUAAACUUUCGAGAUAAAGAUAAACCAAAAUCGAAUGGUCCCCGUGACUCAGCCUGCAUUUAAGAAAAUCUGAUGUCAAAUAUUCAAAAUCCAUAUGGUAAACAUCUCAACUUAUUGGCUCAGCUCCUGUAGUUAAAACGUGAGGUUUCCAUCAGGUACAUAUAUGCUUUAGAGAAAUGUGAAGCAAAUACCAGACAAUAGGAGGAAUUUUUUUUUUUAAAACACUCACGUACCCACUUGAUUCCUGAAAAUCCGAGGCUGCUGUCCUGAUCAAACACCAUGGAACCAAAUACUGGUUUUGCAGGUUUCGAUUCAUCUUUCUGUUGCUCCUUCUCGGCUUUUCCACUUACCUACCAAAUAUUCGAAUACCAUCAUCAUGAGUUGCAAGUUCUAAACUUCUGACAAUGGU
RNAcentral lists this long non-coding RNA (7019 nucleotides) under Capsella grandiflora. RNAcentral describes it as "long non-coding RNA (CGRA_LNC000779)". The stretch from base 460 to 563 matches the Rfam family "Small nucleolar RNA snoR99". The record is from RNAcentral. Lineage: Eukaryota; Viridiplantae; Streptophyta; Magnoliopsida; Brassicales; Brassicaceae.